Molecule: long non-coding RNA, 2273 nt
Organism: Esox lucius (northern pike)
Lineage: Eukaryota; Metazoa; Chordata; Actinopteri; Esociformes; Esocidae
Exons: 7
Source: RefSeq, a predicted model, not a curated record
UGCUAUUGCUAGCUGAGAGAUUUUUAUGAUAUUGUAGCCCAUUUGAUUUAAAAUGGGAUAGUCAUUUCGGCAGAAUAUGUUAUGGUAGUGUGAUAAAGACUGGUUUGGUCUGUUUUAAUGUGUCGCUGCUAUCCUUAUGUAGCUUAUGCUAUGUUAGCAGCAUGUAGCUGCUAGCUAGCAUGCUGCUAGGCGCGAUUGCAUCAUUUCGCAAGUAUUGAUAAUGCCUAUAUAUAGCUAUAUGUUUGAGUUCACGUUUGCGAUGCAAACCUAUAGCUGAUAAAUUGGCACUGGUAUUUCAGUCAAUGAAGUGGGGUCAAUAUUACAGCCAGUGAAGCACUUGUCUGCUAUGAUAGCUAGCAGGUACAAUUUUAGCAUGUUUAGUUUCUAGCUAGCUGUGCAUUAAGUUUGCAUUUUGUCAAGUUUGGUCUCAUGUGUAGUGUCUAUCUGCCAUCCUCUUUAUAAUGAAAAUCAAGCUUCGGCAUUUUAAUCACUGUUUAAGUCGGUUCAGACAACUAAUGGGUAUUGGCGCCUGUUUGAACGUCAAGAAGUACGGGCUUUUCUGCUAAUGGUUGCUACCGACCAUUACUUUGAAACCAUUCAGCAAAUACACAGUACAAAUGGAGAUUUAACAUCACCGCUCAUUUUACACACCGUUUAAAAUGAGCGGCUAGUAAUGAGUGAACAUUACUAGCUAGCUAGCUACGUUUUUCAUGUUGGUUUUGAGCGGUAGGCUCCCCCACUAACCUAGAAAAUAGUUUUAAAACAGUAAAAUUAGCUAGCUAGCUAGCUAAUACGGAGGAAUACUCCAUGCAGCGGGGGAGUCAGAGGCAGAGGGACAGUCACCGCAGCGUUAGCUUCUUGUUUCAUUUGGGGUCUAAUAAACAGUCUAGUACUUUUUCCUUCCUUAUACUUCUUCCCACCUUGGGGCACCAUUCAGGUUAACUUUCAGCCCAUCUAACUUGCUUAUUUGUAUACAUUGUAGGCCUAUACUUGGGCAAUGCUGUAGUCCAUGUUAUUCCUUUUUUGAUGAUGAAUAAAUACCCUUUUUCUUUCUUUCUACAUUAAGGAUGCCUUUUCAUCUAAUUGAAUUUCAGGCAAGCGAGGACAUUGCUUUUGUGCCAGUUGACUGGUAUGAUGACGUGAUGGUGUACUGGCCCAGCUGAACGUGUGAAACGGGCAGCUGCUAACGAGGAGAAGCAUGAGCCAAACUGGCCAAGAUAUGACGUAAAGGUCGUCAGAACUUGUGACAACUACAAAGACGCCAUCAGGCUAAUGAAUCAAUAUCAGACCGGCUGCAACGCCUCUGAGCUACAGUCUGAGGCAGAGCAGGAGGGAUAGCUGCCAGAGAAAUGAUUCAGGAAGCCAAUCCAUCGUUUUGGGGACUCUGAUGAGAGUGAAGAAGAGCCAGAAAAUUCGGCUGGUGUAUCAGUUGGAGCCUCAAGCCCAAACCAAUUACACUGGCAGACUCCACCAUCUCACUGAGUGCCAUGCAGCAGAGUCACUACUCCUCAACCUGGAGGAAACUGUCUAGCACCUGACCAUGGGGCCGGACCCCAACACCCUUCACCACCUCAACUCCCUGCACCUGUAUUUAAAAUGAGGAGAGUUACUCAAGGUAGGGACUGAUUUCUGAAAUAUUAGUGAAUUGGAAGGCCCCAAAGUGUAUUAUAAGUCAUGGUUAACAGAUGACUACCAUUUAAUUAAAAAUAAUUCCCACUCUCUCACACCACCCAACUCACUAUGGGCCAGGAACGGCAGUCCCUCCUCAACUCCCUCCACCCCCCGCACCGGCCCUCAACAUGAGGCGAACAGAGGAGCCCUCUUCAAGCCUGGCCUACAGACCAACAUGGCGAGGGGGAGGAAUGACCGAUACCAUUCCCUGCUCUGUGGCUGAGGUCCACAUCCUUAGCCUGCUGGAGACCAUUAAACAACAACAAGACCAGCUUGUGGCAAAGGUGAACUACCUCAGCAGCAGGCUGAACAGCAACCCCAGGGCCAGAUGUUGAGAUGCUGGACAAUAUCCAGUUUCCCCUAGGACAAUUGGAGGCAUUUGAAAUGUUUUUAAAGGAACCGUCAAAUGGCCCAGCUCGACAGAGCGUGGUGCUGUGAGGAAAAACACAGUGACACGGUCAGCCAUGGAAGCAGAGGUCACCAAGCACGCAAUCAGGUGGUUCAACCUGGCAGCGGAUCGGGCAACGAGGAGACGUGUCCCGCCUCAAGCCACACAAACGGAGUAAUAGGAGAAAUAAGCAAUAAACAAUAUUUUUAUUGAA